GAGAUGGUAAUGCCUGGUGAUAANNGCGGUCUCCAAAACCGCAGGUUGGGGGUUCGAUUCCCUCCUGGCCUGCCA
RNAcentral lists this transfer RNA (75 nucleotides) under Gammaproteobacteria bacterium. Its description in RNAcentral is "tRNA-Trp". Lineage: Bacteria; Pseudomonadati; Pseudomonadota; Gammaproteobacteria. The record is from RNAcentral.